This is a long non-coding RNA of Neofelis nebulosa (Clouded leopard), 486 nucleotides long. RefSeq lists it as uncharacterized. The transcript is spliced from 2 exons. The record is from RefSeq and is a predicted model, not a curated record. Lineage: Eukaryota; Metazoa; Chordata; Mammalia; Carnivora; Felidae.
UGCUUCCGUCUGCUCCGAGCCAAAUCCUACGCCUCGUGGUCGUCACGUGACGAAGGCCGCCCAAUCACGUUCGCUCCCCUCUCGUUGGUUCUUCUGCUCGCCGCUUGGCCUUUCGGGAAGGGUGGAGGACAAAAACGGUGGGAUGAGGAGCGCUGUGUUGACUAGCCCCGCAGCCUAAGGAAACAGUGUGAGUGUGCCUUUGCUUCAGGUCAAAGGACGCCGGGCACAAGAACAGAGAGAGCUUUUAACUUCAUUCACUAGAGGGUGACCUCAUCUGAGCACGUCCUGGUCAGCAUGCCAACCUCCACCCCCUCCUAAAAAGGUGGUAAACGCAAGCAACUUUCUUGGGCGUGUGAAAGGACAAACCGGGGACAAUAAUCCUGCCAGCUCCGAGCCCGAAAUUCGACAGCCGACUAUACGGCAGAUCUUACUGUAGGGAGAGUCAUGAGCCCGAAUUAACUUGAAAGAAAAGAAAAAGGAAGGGAA